Molecule: ribosomal RNA, 434 nt
Filed under: uncultured bacterium
Lineage: Bacteria
Description: partial 16S ribosomal RNA
Rfam family: Bacterial small subunit ribosomal RNA
Source: RNAcentral
GAUGAACGCUGGCGGCAGGCCUAACACAUGCAAGUCGAACGAACCUUUCGGGGUUAGUGGCGGACGGGUGAGUAACACGUGGGAACGUGCCUUUAGGUUCGGAAUAACUCAGGGAAACUUGUGCUAAUACCGAAUGUGCCCUUCGGGGGAAAGAUUUAUCGCCUUUAGAGCGGCCCGCGUCUGAUUAGCUAGUUGGUUGAGGUAAUGGCUCACCAAGGCGACGAUCAGUAGCUGGUCUGAGAGGAUGAUCAGCCACAUUGGGACUGAGACACGGCCCAAACUCCUACGGGAGGCAGCAGUGGGGAAUCUUGCGCAAUGGGCGAAAGCCUGACGCAGCCAUGCCGCGUGAAUGAUGAAGGUCUUAGGAUUGUAAAAUUCUUUCACCGGGGACGAUAAUGACGGUACCCGGAGAAGAAGCCCCGGCUAACUUCGUG